This 74-nucleotide transfer RNA is filed under the name Patescibacteria group bacterium. Its description in RNAcentral is "tRNA-Gly". It matches the Rfam family "tRNA". From Rfam's summary of the family: Transfer RNA (tRNA) molecules are approximately 80 nucleotides in length. Their secondary structure includes four short double-helical elements and three loops (D, anti-codon, and T loops). Further hydrogen bonds mediate the characteristic L-shaped molecular structure. tRNAs have two regions of fundamental functional importance: the anti-codon, which is responsible for specific mRNA codon recognition, and the 3' end, to which the tRNAs corresponding amino acid is attached (by aminoacyl-tRNA synthetases). tRNAs cope with the degeneracy of the genetic code in two manners: having more than one tRNA (with a specific anti-codon) for a particular amino acid; and 'wobble' base-pairing, i.e. permitting non-standard base-pairing at the 3rd anti-codon position. The record is from RNAcentral.
GCGGGAUUAGUUUAAUGGUAGAACAUCAGUUUUCCAAACUGAGAGCGCCGGUCCGAUUCCGGCAUCCCGCACCA